UACGUAGGGUGCGAGCGUUAAUCGGAAUUACUGGGCGUAAAGCGUGCGCAGGCGGUUUUGUAAGCCAGAUGUGAAAUCCCCGGGCUUAACCUGGGAAUGGCAUUUGGGACUGCAAGGCUGGAGUGCGGCAGAGGAGACUGGAAUUCCCGGUGUAGCAGUGAAAUGCGUAGAUAUCGGGAGGAAUACCGAUGGCGAAGGCAGGUCUCUGGGCUGACACUGACGCUCAUGCACGAAAGCGUGGGGAGCAAACGGG
Molecule: ribosomal RNA, 253 nt
Filed under: uncultured bacterium
Lineage: Bacteria
Description: partial 16S ribosomal RNA
Rfam family: Bacterial small subunit ribosomal RNA
Source: RNAcentral